RNAcentral lists this ribosomal RNA (252 nucleotides) under uncultured bacterium. RNAcentral's name for it is "partial 16S ribosomal RNA". It matches the Rfam family "Bacterial small subunit ribosomal RNA", at positions 524 to 776 of the family's 1533-position model. The record is from RNAcentral.
UACGUAGGGCGCAAGCGUUAUCCGGAAUUAUUGGGCGUAAAGAGCUCGUAGGCGGUUUGUCGCGUCUGCUGUGAAAACGCGAGGCUCAACCUCGCGCCUGCAGUGGGUACGGGCAGACUAGAGUGCGGUAGGGGAGAUUGGAAUCCUGGUGUAGCGGUGGAAUGCGCAGAUAUCAGGAGGAACACCGAUGGCGAAGGCAGAUCUCUGGGCCGUUACUGACGCUGAGGAGCGAAAGCGUGGGGAGCGAACAGG